UAGGGGUCUAAUCGGAGCUGUAGCUACCAGCCUAUGCCAGAGCCACAGCAACGCGGGAUCCGAGCCGCAUCUGCAACCUACACCACAGCUCACGGCAACGCCGGAUCGUUAACCCGCUGAGCAAGGGCAGGGACCGAACCCGCAACCUCAUGGUUCCCAGUCGGGUUCGUUAACCACUGCGCCACGACGGGAACUCCUCUACCUAUGUUUAUAUUCAAAACUUUCUAUCACUUGUAAAAUGUGAAUGAAAUUCAUAUAGAAGCUCAUUCAUGACCUUUUUUUAGCAACAAUUCACAACAAUGGCCUAUAUUCAUAGUGAUUUUUAUGAUUAUUUUAGUGGAAUUAAACUUGAACCAGUCAAGUGAACAUAAUUAAUUAUAUUCUGCUCCAGUUACAAUGAAUGAUUAAUUGAUUUCAUCUGGUAGGGUGAAUGCUUGACACUGUCAGUCAUUUAAUAGUCAUGGCAUGCAGGCCUUUGAUCCCUCCUUGCUCAUUAGUUCUCAUGGGGCUUGAUAGCUAUUUAAGGAAAAUAUUUUGUUAAAACAUGUCAGGGAGUAUGGUCAGAUUAUCUAUGUUUCACAUGUGUAUUCCAUUUUAGAAUAAAUGUUAGGUAGUGCUGUACUGUAAACGAGAAUCUCCUCUUUCUUGUUAAAAUGAUAAUGAUCCCUGGAGGUAGAAAUACCACCUUAAAAAAAUAAGUCCUGGCAUUGUUUGUUCCCAAGGUAAGAAGUUAGAAUAAUUUGAUCUAGUGUAGGUUGUCUUACAUAAAAUGUGUUUCGCUUGCAUGAGUUUUAGGCAUCAUUUUGAAAAGUGAAGCCUAUUUGAUAAUACUGAGCUAAUUAAGCAAUUUUCUUCUCAAUAGGUAUUUUAUCCUUUUUUUGCCUGCUUUUUGGACAGUUAGCCUUUGUAUUUCUAAACCCCAAAGGCCAGUUUUUAUAAAUUCAAGUGUCAGUAUGUUAUGAUUAAUUUUUCAUUAUUCUAGUCCUGUGAUUGUAGCUUUUAUUUUUCAUAAGUCCUUUUGAGUAGCACCUCUGACUAACUGAAUUGACCUAUUAACCAUUUUUUCCCCUUCUCCCUUGAAACCUUCUCAGAACAUGUUUGGAAUUCUUUGGCUUGUAUAGUGUACAUGUGCUUGCCUCAGUUAUUCAUUGGACAGAUCUGCCUUAAGUACUUGGUUUUGCCCUUACCUCUACUAGAUGAUAGGAAUACGAUGGUGAACCUUCAGUGUCCCUAACCUGUGAUGCUUAGGACCGGUAGGUGAGACAGAUACUAAUCCUAUAAUCAUGUGAAUACAUGUCAGUGACAACCAUGAUAAGUGCUUGUGAAGGUGAGGCCUUGGUGGACCAAGAGCUAAUCAUGCAGAGAUGGGACUGAGGAAGGAGGUGAGACCUAGUCAGGAAGAUCGGGGAGUGCUUCAAGAAAGUGUUGCUUAAGCCCAAAUAUGGAGGAUGAAGAGAGGUUAAAUAGGUCAAGUAGGGUUUUUAGUGAUAUUGGAUGAUAAUAUACUGGGCACUGAUGGCAAGUUCUUCUUUGGGGAAAGGUAAUAUUUUUUUUGCCCUUGAUUUUAUUACAUGUGAGCCCAGCCAUACAAAUUCCUUUGUGUAUUUUUAAAAAAUGGUUUUUCAUUUGUGCUUAACAUUGUAUUCAUUUGCUGAAGGGCAGGCUUGUACUUUGGCAGAUGUCUUGGUUAUUGUUCUUAAGGAUGUUGACAAAAGUUUCGGAGUUGCGAAAGGUCCUUGGCUUUUCAGACCUUUGAUGUCUGUAUCGUGACUACCAUAAACUUGGAAUCAGGACUGCCAACCUCCUACUGUGCUGAGCGAGGUGUUGCUCUCAUCUACUGCUCUCCGGCAUUUUCUACAUUCUCUGUCAUAGCAAUUACCACAUUGCCAUGCAAUCCUGUCUCAUCUAAGCCAGCCUUUUGAAAAGAAGCAUCAGUACUCUGCAGCUACUUCACUUCCCAUUUGCUUAUCAACCUGCUGCAUUUUGUCCUCGCAGCCCCCAGGAUGAGGUGGCACUCUGGGAGGCCCAGUCUCUGCGAGCUCAUAGUCUAGCAGUAAGAAAAACCCAAACCUUUCUACUGCAGAGGGAUUUGUGCUGUAUAGCUACCCUAUAUAGGGUAGCUCAAAACUCAGAGGAGAUGUAUCUGUGAGCUGAGAUGACUCCCCAGAGGAUAUAUGCAUGAGCUCACUUUUGAAGUUUUGGUUCAGGUUUGCUCUAACUAGUCCAAACUUACGGUCGCUUUUAGAAAUGAUUUAAUUGCAGGGCAGUUCCUUGACCGUCCCAUGCCAUGUCAGUAUUCCUUGCCAGUGGGUAUACUUUUCCCUCGGAUUGCCCCUUCCCUCUUGGUUCUUACAGGGCUGAGUUUUAUUAAUCUCCAUUUUCUUGAACUUGGCUAUAGUAGGUGUUCAGUAAACAUUUGUAUGUCAUUAAAGGGUGUGUGCUUUGCAGUACAGGCAAUGAAGCUAAUUUCAUAAGAUAAUGCACAAAAGUUAGUCUCUUCACGUUACCAACGACCAUAGUUAUAACUUGGAACAUCUCUGAUUCUAAAUCCCCUGCCAGCACAACCACCUCAUCUCACCUCCAGAGAGAAGUUUUCUUUUGAAAUCUAGUAUGCAUUUGUAUUUAUAGAAUAUAAAAUAUAUCCACCACGUUUUGCACAAAUGGAAAAAGCCCAGCUUAGCUUUGGAACGUAUAAGCAACAAAUUAUAACUCCUGGCAGAAGAAGAAAAGGAUUCAGAAAACUCAAAUUAGAAAUUAAAUGGGGAGGCCCUAGCUCCUCUGUGUGUGUGUGUGUGUGUGUGUGUGUGGACAAGUGUUUUCUUUAGCUAAAUCAUCUGUGGUAUUUUCUAUUUGACUAUUCCAUAAUAAAAGGUAGAAGUUAAACAUUUUGUAGAUAGUGUUUUCCUGUAGCAAAUGUCCAGAUCAACAUUUGUCUAUAAAGUUUUCCCACAAAAUUCUAGUUCCACAGGUUUUGAAACAAAUAUUCAGGGAGAAAAAUGUUGGAAGGGGAUUUUGAUUGCAAGGUCAAAUGAAAUGCUGAGUAAAAGUCAAACAGUUUUUUUGUUUUUUUGUAUUGAUUAUUAUUUUAUUUUUAUUUUUUUUGAAAUGAGGUACUUCUUAGAGCAUCUAUUAUACUAACACUGAUUGUGAUCUCUAAAAGGGUCUUACUGUGGUAUACAGUGUUCCUAAACUAGGAAAUUCUCUUGUUUGUCUUCCCACCUUCAAGGGUCUGGGUUCUGUAGAAACACUGUGUAUUGCUGCUUAGAUGGUGGGUACUUUGUGGGUUCUCCUUGCCUAAGGCAUUUUAAUCCAGCUGGGAGUGUCACAUCUGUUAAACCCUUAGCACCAACAAACCGUGGGUCGCAGAGCUUCAGACAGAGGUCAGAUCAUAGUCUAUUAUUUCAGUCUUAAAAGGAGCCCUGCUUUUUGGCACUCUUUAAAACAGCUGUCUGUGGGGUGUGGUUUCCAGCUUUGUUGAUCAUGUACCUCAUGCUUAAACAUCUUGAGUGUUAAUAUGGAGAUAUUUAUUUAUAAAUAAUGCAAGUGUAUUAUUACAUGAGUACUGUUUUAAAAUAUGCAAAGAUGUAAAGGGAUGAGUUAAAAAUUAAUGGAAGCUAGUGUUUCUUCCCACAUUAUGAUGGGUCACUUGGCACACACUUUGGUGUGUAUAUAACCUACUUUGUAAAUCUCUGGCUUUUGAGACAGAAUCUGCAUAUCUUCCAAAUCACCCUCCCCACAUUCCUGGGUUAACUAUGCUUUCCAUUGAAACACUGUUAGCUAUUGGAGAAUGCAGGCCACCCCUAGGUAUUAACUUCUUUUUUUUUUUUUUUUGUCUUUGUAGGGUUGGGGUCACACCUAUGGCACAUUGAAGAUCCCAGGCUAGGGGUCGAAUCGAAGCUGCAGCCACCACCCUACGCCACAGCCACAGCAAUGCCAGAUCUGAGCCCAAUCUGUGACCUAUAGCACAGUUCACGGCAAUGUUGGAUCCUUACCCACUGAGUGAGGCCAGGAUGGAACCCACGUUCUUAUGGAUACUAGUUGGAUUUGUUACUGCUGAACCACAAUGGGAACUCCUCUAGGUAUUUACUUCUAGAGGCUUCUAAGAUACAGUAAGUAGAAAAAGCAAAUAUUCAUAAAUACGUGUGAUCUGAUAGCUUUUUGAAGUUUGUAAAAAUAUAUAAUUUAUGUGUAGAAAAUGUCUAGAUUGAUCCAUUAAAAGACUGUCAAAUUAUUUCUGAGCACUGGAAUUAAGGGUUUUGGGAGAGGAAGAGGAUUUUUAUUUUUUACUUUAUAUCCCAUAUUGUUUGAAAUUUUUAUGAACUCAGAGAUUCUUUUGGUAAUAAAGUUAAAAAUUACUGCAUAUGGUGUGAUGUCAAUAUUUUACAACACAUUGUCAUUGUUGAAGUUGGGUGAUGUGAACAGUGGGCUUCAUUAUUAGAUUUCUACUUUUAUGUGUAUUUGAAUAUUACCAUAAAAAAAAUUUCAAACGAAAGAAAAGUAAAUGCAUUGCAGAAAGGGCAUAGACAUACACCGCAUGGUAACCAAUUAUCUUGAAUGUGGGAAGAGAUUGGGCAAUAGAAAUUUGGGUGCCUCUCCCCCGCCACCUCCCAAUACGUUAUGUUCCAUGAGCAUAUUAUUGCUUUUAUAAUGGGAACUCACUUAACUGAACACACAUACACAGGCACACUGCAGAGCCCCGAGUGCAUAGAGUUUCCUGUGUGGACAGGAGUACAAAAUACUUGUUUUGACUUCCCAGAUGCUUUAUUAGUUUCCAAGGGAAUAUACAAAAUGAAUGUGCAAGCCAUGAGUGUUUAAUGUGUAGGGCUCAGCUGUGUCAUAAUAAGAUCUUGAGGCUUGUUUUGUAGUAUAAAGAUCUUAUACUUGUUGUAUAAUAAAACAAAGGUGAAACUCCAAGGCAUAGCUAAACAGCUCUGCACAGCCACAGCUCUAUCAGGGAGAGCUCAGCUGGUGGAGUCAUGUGCACUGUGAGCUAGUUUACCAGGCUCCAUAAUGUGAAAGACAGUGUCUUAAGGUAGCGUACCUAAUUAUAGCUCUCACAUGGGGUCCAAGGGAAUUAAUAUGUGAAGGACGUUUUCUGUUGCCAAUUGCCAUGCUAGGCUGCAUUCAUAGACAUAUAGAAUCUGUAAGGAGGGAAAUGAUGGUUCAUUAACUGUGUGACCUUGUUAGUUAAGCUCUAGGUACCUCAUCUGUGAAAGAAGGACAAUAAUAUUAGCCACCUCAGGGCACUGUGAUGAGGAUUAAAAGAGAAUGUUUAUAUGGCACCUUGUAUAUGGUGAACACUCAAAUGCCAGCUCUUGUUUUCCUGUGAAAAACUGUUUAUUGAGCUGAGAACAUUUAGCUUGUGAGCAGGUGUUCCCUGAUUUUCAGUAUCUUCUCCUCAAACAGCCAUGUGGUUAGGGAUGAUUGGUCUUUGGUUAACCCCAUCACCUUUGCCAAGUUGAGGAAUGGACAUGUAACCCAGUUUAGCCAGUAAGACAUGAGGGGGUUUCUACUUUUCUUUGUGUAGGUUUUGUCAAGUCUUAGACUGCAGCAUCCACUUUCCUAUCACCCUGAGGAUGAAGCCAACGUGAAGGAUGGCAGAGCAAGAAAAAGAGCAAAACAAAAAAAACCAUCUUGGGGAGUUCCCGUCGUGGCGCAGUGGUUAACAAAUCCGACUAGGAACCGUGAGGAUCCCUGCCCUUGCUCAGUGGGUUAAUGAUCCGGCGUUGGUAUAGGUCCGCAGAUGCAGCUGGGAUCCCACGUUGCUGUGGCUAUGGUGUAGGCCAGCAGCUACAGCUCCAAUUAGACCCCUAGCCUGGGAACCUCCAUAUGCCGCGAGAGCAGCUCAAGAAAUGGC
This 5857-nucleotide long non-coding RNA is filed under the name Sus scrofa (pig). RNAcentral describes it as "lncRNA (ENSSSCG00000052887.1)". The record is from RNAcentral. Lineage: Eukaryota; Metazoa; Chordata; Mammalia; Artiodactyla; Suidae.